RNAcentral lists this transfer RNA (76 nucleotides) under Acidobacteriota bacterium. RNAcentral's name for it is "Acidobacteria bacterium (groundwater metagenome) tRNA-Thr". It matches the Rfam family "tRNA". From Rfam's summary of the family: Transfer RNA (tRNA) molecules are approximately 80 nucleotides in length. Their secondary structure includes four short double-helical elements and three loops (D, anti-codon, and T loops). Further hydrogen bonds mediate the characteristic L-shaped molecular structure. tRNAs have two regions of fundamental functional importance: the anti-codon, which is responsible for specific mRNA codon recognition, and the 3' end, to which the tRNAs corresponding amino acid is attached (by aminoacyl-tRNA synthetases). tRNAs cope with the degeneracy of the genetic code in two manners: having more than one tRNA (with a specific anti-codon) for a particular amino acid; and 'wobble' base-pairing, i.e. permitting non-standard base-pairing at the 3rd anti-codon position. The record is from RNAcentral. Lineage: Bacteria; Pseudomonadati; Acidobacteriota.
GCCGGCGUAGCUCAGUUGGUAGAGCGGCUGAUUCGUAAUCAGUAGGUCGGGGGUUCAACUCCCUCCGCCGGCUCCA